Molecule: long non-coding RNA, 5696 nt
Organism: Cydia pomonella (codling moth)
Lineage: Eukaryota; Metazoa; Arthropoda; Insecta; Lepidoptera; Tortricidae
Exons: 2
Source: RefSeq, a predicted model, not a curated record
UAAAGUCAAUGUGGUGAAGAUCAGCAUAUAACAUUUUUGGUUGGGAAGACCGACAUAGGGAAAGAACUCUCGUAUUUGUAUGUACUUUGCUCAGACACAGUCAGAAAGGAACAGAUUCGCUCCUUAUGCUCUACCUUUUUCUGUAAGUGGAAUAUGUGUAUAAAUGCAUGAGCGGCAUGAGUUAAAAGCGACGAAAGAGCUUGUAGACGGUCUUACCUGAUAUGCAGUUUUCUCCACAUUGACCUUAGUAAGUAUGCUAACACAUUAUAAAAGUGCAUCUAUUACAAGAACUGAAAUAAUGCUAACUUAUUUCAGUUGAUGUAUUAAAUAAAUCAUAGUAUCAUACCUAUUAAGUUACUCUAAAUAAAAAAUCUGAUGUGACAUGACAUUCAUAACAUUCAUAAAUCAUGUACACAAAAGCCUUAUUUGUUAAUAGAAGUAACAUCAUCAAAUUCACAGCAAGUAAAAUAUAAAAUAGAAUGCCUUUUUCUGCAUACAGCAAUUAUUUGUGAGGUACCUAGUAGUAUGUACUUAUACAUGUUUAUGAAUAAGUAGAGGGCGGUAGAGAUCACUUACAUUUUAAAUAUAAAUGAUUUUGUAAGGCUAAUAAAUGACGAUUGAUGAUAUACUAGUCGUUUAUAAAAUUAUUUUAAAGUGUGUCAUAUAAAUUUGUCUAUAUUAUAAAAAAUAGGAAUUCUUAUUAGUCAAAAUUUUUCAGUUCACUUAAAGUAUAUCAUUUUUUGCACAAUAGUUUUAAGUGUAGCAAGUUAAUUUCGUUUACACCCCAUUUGUAAUCACGUUUUGCAACUAGUCAGUUGAUCUCAUAAGUUAUAGAAGGUGUUACUAUUUAUGUUGUUUAAUUAUAUAAGUUUAAAUAAAUAGUAAGAGAUAUAUGUUUAUUUUCUAGUCAAGCUCAGCAUGUUAAAAUGUCUCGAAGUCAUAUUUGUACAUUUCAUAUUUCUCAUAUGAAAAUACGUAUUUUGAUGCAAGCAAGACAGCCAUAAAGCUAGAGCUGCAGAAUUCAAUUCCAUGCCUGGUCCGCCAGACUGCAGUAAUAACGCUAAUAACGCCAAUAUCAAACGAAAGUAUUCUACUGAGUAAGACAUCUAAUAAAAUGAGACACAUUGUUUUUACCGCUACAGUUUUAUAUAGUGUUUCAGUCUCUAGAGAUGUUAAAUAUAUAGUUCAUAAGUAUUCCUUAAUAUCACAGUUCAUGAAUACAGCUAAACAAUAACAAUUAUGACCUUGUUUAAGCUCAUAUUUUUCUAAGCGCACAUCUUCGCUAAUAGAAGGGCACUUCGCGUUCAAUUUUGUCUUUUAAUUCUGCCUAUAGGAUUUUUUAUUAUGAAAAGAUGGUUUCAUUCACCAUACCGAAAUUAAACAUUCCAAAGCUCAUUUUUAUAGUGUUAUGCAAUUCUAGUUAAAUAUAAAAUAAUUUUGCACAAAUUGUAGCUUCGAUCUCGUUAUUUUUUAAUUAAAUGUUUUAACAAACUGCAAUUGUAACUGUGCUAAUUAUUUUAAUACCCAGAAUCAAAUUAGCUUUAUGUUAUAAAGAUCUUGCUAUUUCACAAAAUUUAAUAUUAUCAAAUUAUAGUUUUUCGACUUUUUUUUCUCACCAGAAGCCUCUUUGCUCCAGUCGCAGAUUUAUACCCGAGACAGGGAAAAUACCACUACUCGACAUGAGUAGCCCAAUUCAUACGUGUGCAGCAGAGCAUGGUCGUCCUCCACAACGGUUACACGUACUCCAAGAACAACCCCAUCUCCGGUGGCCGCACCAGAUACCGGUGUUCGAGCUUCAAGACCUUCAACUGUAAAGCUUACUUGCAUGUGGACGAGCAAAAUGUCAUCGUCAAGGGAAAUGUUGUUCAUGAUCAUGACCCGCCGAAUUUGGUGCAACUUGGUGGAAGUUAUUUUAAAUGUUGAUGUUCGAUUUCAAUUUGAUACUCCAAGAACAACCCUAUCGCUGGCGGUCGCACCAGAUACCGACAUUGUCCAUGAUCAUGACCAGCCGAAUUUGGUGCAACUUUGUGGGACUUAUUUUAAAUGUUGAUGUUUGAUUUUAAUUUGUUUAUUAUUGCGCUGCUUACUACAAUAGAAAAGGAGGUCACUAGUCACGUAUCGUUUGUUGCGUCUUUAAAUAUCGAAUCAGUCAAUCGAAUUUACACAUCUACAAUAUUUACUCGUCUAAAAAUGGUUACAAUUUUCCAAAGUAAUUUAUAAAUACGGGCCAAGGCUUGUUGUUUCGUUGACUUUAGAAGUCUGUGGCUAGAGCACUAUUAUUCUUCUUUUUAUUCUGUUACUCUCUGUUGGGGUCUAGGGCAAUAGAGCACUAUUGUAAUAUUUAAGUAGUAGUAGUAGUAAACUCUUUAUUGUAUAAAAAUACAUAUUAAAACUAACAUCCAAUUAGCAAGAAGUACAAAGGCGAACCCUUUGAGGUAUUUCUUCCAGUUGAGGCACCUUUGAAUAGAUGAGAAGAGAGAGUGAAAAGAGGGUGACAUGCAGCAAAAUACAAGGUACCAGAAACACAAAGGAUAUAAAUACAUUCAUAAUUUAUAGGAAAUCUAAACAUGUAUUACACAAAAAGGAACGGGGAAAAUACACCAAAGCAGUAGAAAAAUAUAAAGCAACUAUAUAAUAGAAAUGUAGGCAAAUUAAUCAGACAGAACCAUAGCAUCUUUAACCUCCCCUUGAGCCACGUAGCCGAUUGUGCCUGUCUGAGCGAAACAUGCAGCUCAUUACACAGCUUCACUGAACGCGCUGCGAAGAACUUUAUUUAAAUUAAGAGUAUCCUUAUGUUUCUAGUGAUUCGCACACUUUGUAAAUAAAAGUUAGCAAAUUAGACAAAUUAAAAUAAUCCAAGAUUGUGCAGGAUCUUAACAGGUGGCACGCUUUCGUUUCGGAGACCAAGUUUUUUUAUGGAUCUCUGAGCGAAAAUAAUUAGUUUAGUUCAAGAUUGACGAAUUUAAAUGCCUUAACUAGGUAAUAAGUAAACCUGUUUCUUUAUAAUACUUUAAGUCAUCACCAAACGUAAAAUGAUCGUCCAAUAAAUCAGAAGUAACAAAACAUAUUAUUGUACAUAAAAUUACAUUCUAAUUUAUAAUUUUCUAUACAUAAACAUAGCUGCAAGUUGAACUUGUAAAUAUUUAAAUAUAAAAUAAACCUAAAUAUUAAUAAUUAAUUGUUUUUAUUUGGUUCAGUUGAAAUUCUGUACUUGACUGACAAAUAAUGUUCUUCUUUCUGCGCUUCUAAAAUUAUUUCCUAUAGUAAUAUUCCCAUUUUCUUUUACCAAAUAAUUUAUACUUUAUUAUUGUAUAUAUAGUCGGUUAGGCUGUUAUAGCGAAGAAUCCACGAAAAAAUGCUUAACUUAUUUCUGGGCAUCAUCGAUUAGACUAGAGAGUAACCUUCAGUCUUUUUAUAUCUUAGUUGGUGCAAAAUGUACCUCUAGCAAUAGUUACAAAACCUAAAUAAAAAAAAUUGAAUCCGACUUUGGUAUACGGGUAGAUCAACUUUUUUUCCUGACCCGUCAGCCAGACCACAAUUGUAGCAUAAUGGUUUGUUAGAUAAAAUGCUACACUACGUUCUACUAAUAUGCUAAGAUCUACUUAUUAUAGUCAUCUAUCUAAGGUGGCCCAUUAUGGAAAGGGAUUAAACUACCUUUAAAUGUUUGUUUGGAUAUUUUAAAUAUCAUAAAACAAGGGUUUUAAAAGUGACCCAGGCAACCGUAACCAUGGCAUAUGUCAUACAGAUAAAAAUUAAAUAUGGUAAUUUUCAGCAUCAUACAUAACCUUAGCCAGCGGUACCAAGCUCCUGAUCAUCGGGGAGUACUCCUACUCCAUCCGAGGCCGUAUCCGCGACCAAGGCUUCAGGUUCAAGUGCUCCAGCUGCCUCAGCAGAGGCUGCAAGGCCUUCGCUCAUGUGAGCAAGGAUAACGUCAUUUUGAAAGCCGACACGUUUCAUAAUCAUCCACCUUCGAGGUUCAUGCAAAUGUCUUCCGGAAGAUUUAUUAAAUUGAGUUAAUUGAAAUCAUUAUUUUAAUGUAGUUUGUAAUAAAUACAUGAUAAAUUAAUGAGUGGUAUUAUUUUAUUAUUUAUACGAAUACGCUUGGCCUCUAGCGUCUUACGGUUCUUAUACUAGUGCAAAUUACUAAUUACAUCCAAUGAAAUAAUUCUACGGAUUACACUCACGUAUUUUUAGUCACUCGCGCGACGUGUUUAGGAGAGCUUAGCGUGCGACGCGGCGCGGAGCAGUACGCGAUUCACGGCCGUCGUGAACGCUGCUCGCACUGUUAGUGCUUGAGAAAGGAGACCUAAGCUUUCCGAAGCAUGUCGCGCGAGUGACUAAAAAUACGUGAGUGUAAUCCGUAGAAUUAUUUUAAUGUUAGUAUGUCUCACGACAGUUUAAAUUCGAUUACAUCCAAAAAAAUUCAUUAUGGAAAAGAGUCGCUUAAAUUUUGUUUCGUUCGAUUUUGAAACGAAACAAAUUGAAUUUUAUUUUCUAAUGCAAUUGAUUAAAAUUUAACUGCCAAUUUUUAUUGUAUGAGAGGUUAUAGAAUCUUUUUAAAGUUGGUUGAUGAAUAUUUUGGCUGUGAGAUUGAACAUGCGUUUGUCUUGCAUAAAGUAAAUAGGUACUGCUUUGUUUGUAGAAUCAGCAGUUUCACCGGAAUGAUUCUGUUAAAUAAAUAUUUAAUACCUACUAUACUAAUUAGAUUAAUUCAAAGCAAUCAACCUCCCUGUGCCUAACCUGCCAAUGUUAUCGUCGUAACAAAAAUUUAGAUACGAAAUUGCUUAUUUAUAUCUUCCAAGUCCCAUCAGAUUCUUUAGAUUUCAUUUUGAACCUUGACUUAUUUAAUAAAAGUAAAAAUUAACUUUUAAAGUAAAACCCGUAUAAUUUUGACCCAUAUCGCUUUCACAAGACGCCUCAUGUUCUCACUUUUCCUGUAAAAAUCAAUGAAAACGAACUUUUUUCCAGCCAAAUACAUAAUCACAACGCGAGGAAUAAAACUGCUAUGCAUCAACGACUACACGUUUUGUCGCAGCGGCCCGAUCCAUGAUGGCUCCAGAUACACUUGUUCCAAUAGACACAGGAAGUGCAAAGCUCAUGCGCAUGUUACCAAGGACGAUGUCAUUAAAAAGGCGGAUUUGAAUCAUAACCAUGCUCCUGUCAAAUAUGUGCAAACGAAUUCUGGUUUUUAUCAAAAAGUUUAAAUUGUAUGUCAAUGUUCAGACCAAGACUUGGAACCGGUUUUAAAAAUAGCGUAAAAUUUUUGCGUUUUGGUUUUACUUCGAACUUUCGUAAGAACGCGAACGUUUUAAGAAUGCUAUUGUAACCUAAAUAAACCGGUUUAUUCGACGAGCGACGAGACAGCCGCUGGGCCUGGUGGUGUGCAGCGUAAACAAAGACAUCGACCUAGGAAGAAACCGGUUUUAUUGUUUUAAACCGGUUAAUCUAAGAUAUAUAUAUAUAUAUAUAUUGUUGGCAACAUAAAGUCUACCCUACCAGGCAUAGGCUAUAAAAACCGGUGCAAACCGUUGCUCGGAACAUUUUGCCUUCGGCUGCCGUCGUGAUCGCGUGAGCUACUUUGAUAUCGUUCCAUGCUGUUAUUUUAUAUUUCGUUAUGUAAUAUAAAAUGUGCGAUUUGUUCCUUUAAUUUUGUGAUAUUUAUUAGAACUUCGAAUAAAAUAAUUGUGAUUUGUUUA